RNAcentral lists this transfer RNA (87 nucleotides) under bacterium. Its description in RNAcentral is "tRNA-Ser". It matches the Rfam family "tRNA". Rfam says of the family: Transfer RNA (tRNA) molecules are approximately 80 nucleotides in length. Their secondary structure includes four short double-helical elements and three loops (D, anti-codon, and T loops). The record is from RNAcentral.
GGAGAGGUGACCGAGUGGCUGAAGGUGCUCGCCUGCUAAGCGAGUGUACAGGUAACUGUACCGGGGGUUCGAAUCCCCUCCUCUCCG